Kogia breviceps (pygmy sperm whale) is the source of this 104-nucleotide small nuclear RNA. Lineage: Eukaryota; Metazoa; Chordata; Mammalia; Artiodactyla; Physeteridae. The record is from RefSeq and is a predicted model, not a curated record.
GUGAUUGCUUCAGCAGCACAUAUACUAAAAUUGGAACAAUACAGAAAUUAGCAUGGCCCCUGCCCAAGGAUGACAUGCAAAUACAUGAAGCAUUCCAUAUUUUU